RNAcentral lists this long non-coding RNA (597 nucleotides) under Olea europaea subsp. europaea. The record is from RNAcentral. Lineage: Eukaryota; Viridiplantae; Streptophyta; Magnoliopsida; Lamiales; Oleaceae.
CGCAAAGAAUGUGGAAAGUGAAGGUAUUUGAGAGCAGGAACAUAUUAGAGUGCCUAUUUAGAAUAUAAAAUUAUACAUUAUUUAAUAUGUCCGGAAUUUAGGAAAGUGUUUUCGAAAGCUACUGAGUUCAAGUGGUACAUAUCUUUCCACAUCUUUUGUCCAGCUUCAAAAACUUGUUAUUGUAAUUAACAUGCUGGUCUCAUAUUCUUUCCGAGCUCUAACCCAAACUAUACUAAAUCCUGGCAAGAGCCCACUCUUCCUCAUCUUCAUAUUCCCUUUUAAUUUCAUUAUCACGUAAUCUUUUAUCCUUAUUCCUUAAGAGAGUUACUCCACACUGGUGCAGAAACAACUAAAUCCAAAAUAAAUGAUGGUAAAACAGAGAGAGAUUCUCCAUAAAUAAUAAAUAGUGACUAUUUUACCCUCCAAUGCCUGCAAAACGGACGGGACAAGGAGAAAGCUUUUUCAAAGAGUCCAUGAAACGUGAGCCGAUCAUGUCACCAGAAACCUCUCCAGCAACUAUAAAGACUCUGAGUUCCCCAUCUUUUGAACCCAUAUCUAUGGGUGCUUGUUGACUUGACACCAACAAGUGCCUUUUAA